This 234-nucleotide unclassified non-coding RNA is filed under the name Hevea brasiliensis (rubber tree). The record is from RNAcentral. Lineage: Eukaryota; Viridiplantae; Streptophyta; Magnoliopsida; Malpighiales; Euphorbiaceae.
UGUGGUGGGAAACCAGGGAAAGGUGUAGCAAGCUGGUUGAGGCGAAGAUGGAAUAGUAGUCCUGUGGUAGUAGUUGGAGCUGAGGAAGAGGAGUAUUGUUUAACAGCUGAUGACAUCGAUUCAAGUUUGGUUUUCAUGUACACACCGGUAACAGAACAAGGUUCUAAAGGAGAACCACAAUAUGCAAUGACCGACUUCAUAAAAGCAGCUGCACCAUCAGUCUCUAAUGUUCGG